AGCAUGUGUAGUAUACUAGUAUAUGGACUGCUCGCACGCGCUGCCACGGACUGCUCCGCCCAGCACCCCGACACCCCGCGUGUCGCCUGCGUGCCACACCGUCGCCACCUCUCCCACACGUUGAUGAAGAGGUCUGUCUCUCUUUCCGCCCCUGCUCACCGUCCUGUGCGGCAAUGGACGCGACUACUUGAGGGAACGAAGCCCGUCCUCCCAGCACCGGUAGUCUCCCUGCACCCUGCAAAAAAUUAAAUAAAUCGUAAGUUCAGAAUCAAGAAACCAUGAAGUUCAAAGACAACAAAGGUACAACAAUGUUGAUGGCGAUUGAAGAAGGAUCCCGGAAAUAUUAUUAUUGGGACCGUAGGCCAAGUUUUAUGCAUGGUGUGAGAGGAUUCCAGGAAUUGUUCUGAAGCGGUCGAUGGCUUUCGAGAGAUGCGAUCAUAUCUCACAAGUUUCCAAGGGGUUCAACAUCAUUUAUAUACGAAGGAAAUGUCAAAGGUUCAGAUGGCAACACACUUAAAAAUACUGGUGAAAAAUCUGAACAUGUAUAGUGCAAUCAUGGGAAAAAGCUUGAAUUUUUAUCGCUUGACCUGUGCUGAUCUCUCCUAUAGUUUUUGUUAUGCGUUCUUCAUUGAGUGGUACAACUGAACAUAUCCAUGGGAGAUCCAUGCUAUGGUACAGAUUUGUGAAAUUACUUUGUACUCA
Molecule: long non-coding RNA, 702 nt
Organism: Triticum dicoccoides
Lineage: Eukaryota; Viridiplantae; Streptophyta; Magnoliopsida; Poales; Poaceae
Exons: 3
Source: RefSeq, a predicted model, not a curated record